ACGGGAGGCAGCAGUGGGGGAUAUUGCGCAAUGGGGGGAACCCUGACGCAGCAACGCCGCGUGAAGGAAGACGGUUUUCGGAUUGAACUUCUUUAAGUGUGGAAGAAGAUGACGGUACACACAGAAUAAGCCACGGCUAACUACGUGCCAGCAGCCGCGGUAAUACGUAGGUGGCGAGCGUUGUCCGGAUUUACUGGGUGUAAAGGGCGUGUAGGCGGGAUUACAAGUCAGAUGUGAAAUACCGAGGCUUAACUUCGGGGCUGCAUUUGAAACUGUAGUUCUUGAGUGCUGGAGAGGAAAGCGGAAUUCCUAGUGUAGCGGUGAAAUGCGUAGAUAUUAGGAGGAACACCAGUGGCGAAGGCGGCUUUCUGGACAGUAACUGACGCUGAGGCGCGAAAGUGUGGGGAGCAAACAGGAUUAGAUACCCUGGUA
This 432-nucleotide ribosomal RNA is filed under the name uncultured Clostridium sp. Its description in RNAcentral is "partial 16S ribosomal RNA". It matches the Rfam family "Bacterial small subunit ribosomal RNA", at positions 341 to 792 of the family's 1533-position model. Lineage: Bacteria; Bacillati; Bacillota; Clostridia; Eubacteriales; Clostridiaceae. The record is from RNAcentral.